Molecule: ribosomal RNA, 301 nt
Filed under: uncultured bacterium
Lineage: Bacteria
Description: partial 16S ribosomal RNA
Rfam family: Bacterial small subunit ribosomal RNA
Source: RNAcentral
CAGCAGCCACGGUAAUACGAAGGGUGCAAGCGUCACUCGGAAUUACUGGGCGUAAAGCGUGCGUAGGCGGUUUGUUAAGUCUGUUGUGAAAUCCCCGGGCUCAACCUGGGAAUGGCAAUGGAUACUGGCAAGCUAGAGUGUGUCCGAGGAUGGUGGAAUUCCCGGUGUAGCGGUGAAAUGCGUAGAGAUCGGGAGGAACAUCAGUGGCGAAGGCGGCCAUCUGGGACAACACUGACGCUGAGGCACGAAAGCGUGGGGAGCAAACAGGAUUAGAUACCCGUGUAGUCCCUGUCUCUUAUAC